GAGUUUGAUCCUGGCUCAGGAUGAACGCUAGCGACAGGCUUAACACAUGCAAGUCGAACGAGCGAGAGAGAGCUUGCUUUCUCGAGCGAGUGGCGAACGGGUGAGUAACGCGUGAGGAACCUGCCCUGGAGUGGGGGACAACAGUUGGAAACGACUGCUAAUACCGCAUAAGCCCACAGCACCGCAUGGUGCAGAGGGAAAAGGAGCAAUUCGCUUCAGGAUGGCCUCGCGUCCAAUUAGGUAGAUGGUGAGGUAACGGCCCACCAUGCCGACGAUUGGUAGCCGGACUGAGAGGUUGAACGGCCACAUUGGGACUGAGACACGGCCCAGACUCCUACGGGAGGCAGCAGUGGGGAAUAUUGCACAAUGGGGGAAACCCUGAUGCAGCGACGCCGCGUGGAGGAGAAGGUUUUCGGAUUGGUAAACUCCUGUCUUCGGGGACGAUAAUGACGGUACCCGAGGAGGAAGCCACGGCUAAC
This 479-nucleotide ribosomal RNA is filed under the name uncultured bacterium. RNAcentral's name for it is "bacterial SSU rRNA". It matches the Rfam family "Bacterial small subunit ribosomal RNA", at positions 9 to 501 of the family's 1533-position model. The record is from RNAcentral.